UCCUAGUUAACCUAGGCAGUCUCGUUAGAGUUCCCGCCUUGACGCGUUGGCAACUAACGAUAAGGGUUGCGCUCGUUGCUGGACUUAACCAAACACCUCCCGGCACGAGCUGACGACAGCCAUGCAGCACCUAUAUAGAGACCCUUACGGGAAAUCACAUCUCUGUGAUCGUCCUCUACAUUUCGAGCCCAGGUAAGGUUCUUCGCGUUGCUUCGAAUUGAACCACAUGCUCCACCGCUUGUGCGGGCCCCCGUCAAUUCCUUUGAGUUUUAAUCUUGCGACCGUACUCCCCAGGCGGGAUGCUUAAUGCGUUAGCUGCGCCACUGACGAGUAAACCCGCCAACGGCUAGCAUCCAUCGUUUACGGCGUGGACUAC
This 376-nucleotide unclassified non-coding RNA is filed under the name uncultured bacterium. RNAcentral's name for it is "contains 16S-23S intergenic spacer region". The record is from RNAcentral.